Long non-coding RNA from Bombina bombina (fire-bellied toad), 235 nucleotides. RefSeq lists it as uncharacterized. The transcript has 3 exons. The record is from RefSeq and is a predicted model, not a curated record. Lineage: Eukaryota; Metazoa; Chordata; Amphibia; Anura; Bombinatoridae.
GUAGCUCAGCACUCAGCAGUUCUGAUUUGGCAUGGCAGCAGACAGUCACAGACCCUGAUGCCUCCACUGGUGAUGGAGAGUCCACUGAACCUAUAGUAGAGGAGGAUAAUCAUAAUAAGUCAGGUACAGGUUCUUCAGGAUAGGCACAGGUAUAAUCUGGAAGUGUCCAAGUGCAGGAAGUAUGCCCACAUCUCAGGCAUCUCUACAACACUCUAAAAAACGUCCUAUUUUUCUC